Molecule: long non-coding RNA, 330 nt
Filed under: Nicotiana benthamiana
Lineage: Eukaryota; Viridiplantae; Streptophyta; Magnoliopsida; Solanales; Solanaceae
Description: long non-coding RNA (NBEN_LNC029777)
Source: RNAcentral
UACCUGAAACAGAGUCUAAGAUUUGCAGCGUAACCUUUUUUGGAUGUUUCUUCAACAAGUCCACUAUGAUUUUCACUCUUGCCGUACUAGGUCUCGUUCUGUCCUGCGUCGCCUUGUCGAUAGCAAGAGGUUUUCCAACUGCAGCAGCUAUAGACAUAACGACCUCUUAGCAAAAAGAUUUGGAGGUAAUCCUGGCAGCGAUAUCCACAGCAAGAGGUUUUCAAACUGCUGUAGCUAUAGACAUUAACGAUCUCUUAGCAAACAGAAUUGGAGGUAAUCCUGGCAGUGAUAUCCACACAACAGCCAUCGACGUCUCUUCCUUCGGAUUGA